This 417-nucleotide long non-coding RNA is filed under the name Cricetulus griseus (Chinese hamster). RNAcentral describes it as "lncRNA (ENSCGRG00015030099.1)". The record is from RNAcentral. Lineage: Eukaryota; Metazoa; Chordata; Mammalia; Rodentia; Cricetidae.
UGUAUUAAAAAUGCAAAUGUAAAAUGUGGAUUUUUGCAGUGUCUAAAUAUACAUCAAUAAAAUUCUUCAAAGGAAAGAGCCAGGGAUUGGACAGCCUGAGCCUUCCCAGUGCCAGAGUACGUGUAUCAGCCAUUUCUGGUUGGUCAGGACCCCCAGUGGGACUGGGAGAAGCCUGAAGAGUUGUUGAGGAACUGAAGCCCACUUUGAGUAAAUACUCCAGGAGACAAGUGCGUCCCCCAAGCUGAAUUCUUCCAAGCUGGGGAAUUUAGUUAACUUCCAACAACAAGCUCUGCCUCCUGGGAGCUUGGCCCAGCUGCACAGGGCCUGGAGAGAUGGCUCAGUGCUUAAGAGCACUGGCUGCUCUCCCAGAGGUCCUGGGUACAAUUCCCAGCACCCACAUGGACAGCUCACAACUGU